GGGUUGUGAGGUUAAGCGACUAAGCGUACACGGUGGAUGCCCUGGCAGUCAGAGGCGAUGAAGGACGUGCUAAUCUGCGAAAAGCGUCGGUAAGGUGAUAUGAACCGUUAUAGCCGGCGAUGUCCGAAUGGGGAAACCCAGUGUGAUUCGUCACACUAUCGUUAACUGAAUACAUAGGUUAACGAGGCGAACCGGGGGAACUGAAACAUCUAAGUACCCCGAGGAAAAGAAAUCAACCGAGAUUCCCCCAGUAGCGGCGAGCGAACGGGGAGCAGCCCAGAGUCUGAAUCAGCUUGUGUGUUAGUGGAACGGUCUGGAAAGUCCGACGGUACAGGGUGAUAGUCCCGUACACCAAAAUGCACAGGCUGUGAACUCGAAGAGUAGGGCGGGACACGUGGUAUCCUGUCUGAAUAUGGGGGGACCAUCCUCCAAGGCUAAAUACUCCUGACUGACCGAUAGUGAACCAGUACCGUGAGGGAAAGGCGAAAAGAACCCCGGCGAGGGGAGUGAAAAAGAACCUGAAACCGUGUACGUACAAGCAGUGGGAGCACCUUCGGGUGUGACUGCGUACCUUUUGUAUAAUGGGUCAGCGACUUAUAUUCUGUAGCAAGGUUAACCGUAUAGGGGAGCCGCAGGGAAACCGAGUCUUAACUGGGCGUUAAGUUGCAGGGUAUAGACCCGAAACCCGGUGAUCUAGCCAUGGGCAGGUUGAAGGUUGGGUAACACUAACUGGAGGACCGAACCGACUAAUGUUGAAAAAUUAGCGGAUGACUUGUGGCUGGGGGUGAAAGGCCAAUCAAACCGGGAGAUAGCUGGUUCUCCCCGAAAGCUAUUUAGGUAGCGCCUCGUGAAUUCAUCUUCGGGGGUAGAGCACUGUUUCGGCUAGGGGGUCAUCCCGACUUACCAACCCGAUGCAAACUACGAAUACCGAAGAAUGUUAUCACGGGAGACACACGGCGGGUGCUAACGUCCGUCGUGAAGAGGGAAACAACCCAGACCGCCAGCUAAGGUCCCAAAGUCAUGGUUAAGUGGGAAACGAUGUGGGAAGGCACAGACAGCCAGGAUGUUGGCUUAGAAGCAGCCAUCAUUUAAAGAAAGCGUAAUAGCUCACUGGUCGAGUCGGCCUGCGCGGAAGAUGUAACGGGGCUAAACCAUGCACCGAAGCUGCGGCAGCGACACUAUGUGUUGUUGGGUAGGGGAGCGUUCUGUAAGCCUGCGAAGGUGUGCUGUGAGGCAUGCUGGAGGUAUCAGAAGUGCGAAUGCUGACAUAAGUAACGAUAAAGCGGGUGAAAAGCCCGCUCGCCGGAAGACCAAGGGUUCCUGUCCAACGUUAAUCGGGGCAGGGUGAGUCGACCCCUAAGGCGAGGCCGAAAGGCGUAGUCGAUGGGAAACAGGUUAAUAUUCCUGUACUUGGUGUUACUGCGAAGGGGGGACGGAGAAGGCUAUGUUAGCCGGGCGACGGUUGUCCCGGUUUAAGCAUGUAGGCUGGUUGUCCAGGCAAAUCCGGAUAAUCAAGGCUGAGGUGUGAUGACGAGGUACUACGGUGCUGAAGUAACAAAUGCCCUGCUUCCAGGAAAAGCCUCUAAGCAUCAGGUAACAUCAAAUCGUACCCCAAACCGACACAGGUGGUCAGGUAGAGAAUACCAAGGCGCUUGAGAGAACUCGGGUGAAGGAACUAGGCAAAAUGGUGCCGUAACUUCGGGAGAAGGCACGCUGGUGUGUAGGUGAAGUCCCUGCGGAUGGAGCUGAGACCAGUCGAAGAUACCAGCUGGCUGCAACUGUUUAUUAAAAACACAGCACUGUGCAAACACGAAAGUGGACGUAUACGGUGUGACGCCUGCCCGGUGCCGGAAGGUUAAUUGAUGGGGUUAUCCGUAAGGAGAAGCUCUUGAUCGAAGCCCCGGUAAACGGCGGCCGUAACUAUAACGGUCCUAAGGUAGCGAAAUUCCUUGUCGGGUAAGUUCCGACCUGCACGAAUGGCGUAAUGAUGGCCAGGCUGUCUCCACCCGAGACUCAGUGAAAUUGAACUCGCUGUGAAGAUGCAGUGUACCCGCGGCAAGACGGAAAGACCCCGUGAACCUUUACUAUAGCUUGACACUGAACAUUGAGCCUUGAUGUGUAGGAUAGGUGGGAGGCUUUGAAGCGUGGACGCCAGUCUGCGUGGAGCCAACCUUGAAAUACCACCCUUUAAUGUUUGAUGUUCUAACGUUGGCCCCUUACCGGGGUUGCGGACAGUGUCUGGUGGGUAGUUUGACUGGGGCGGUCUCCUCCCAAAGCGUAACGGAGGAGCACGAAGGUUAGCUAAUCCUGGUCGGACAUCAGGAGGUUAGUGCAAUGGCAUAAGCUAGCUUGACUGCGAGCGUGACGGCGCGAGCAGGUGCGAAAGCAGGUCAUAGUGAUCCGGUGGUUCUGAAUGGAAGGGCCAUCGCUCAACGGAUAAAAGGUACUCCGGGGAUAACAGGCUGAUACCGCCCAAGAGUUCAUAUCGACGGCGGUGUUUGGCACCUCGAUGUCGGCUCAUCACAUCCUGGGGCUGAAGUAGGUCCCAAGGGUAUGGCUGUUCGCCAUUUAAAGUGGUACGCGAGCUGGGUUUAGAACGUCGUGAGACAGUUCGGUCCCUAUCUGCCGUGGGCGCUGGAGAAUUGAGGGGGGCUGCUCCUAGUACGAGAGGACCGGAGUGGACGCAUCACUGGUGUUCGGGUUGUCAUGCCAAUGGCACUGCCCGGUAGCUAAAUGCGGAAGAGAUAAGUGCUGAAAGCAUCUAAGCACGAAACUUGCCCCGAGAUGAGUUCUCCCUGAGACUUUAAGUCUCCUGAAGGAACGUUAAAGACGAUGACGUUGAUAGGCCGGGUGUGUAAGCGCAGCGAUGCGUUGAGCUAACCGGUACUAAUGAACCGUGAGGCUUAACCUUACAACGCCGAAG
RNAcentral lists this ribosomal RNA (2923 nucleotides) under Klebsiella pneumoniae. Its description in RNAcentral is "bacterial LSU rRNA". It matches the Rfam family "Bacterial large subunit ribosomal RNA". The record is from RNAcentral. Lineage: Bacteria; Pseudomonadati; Pseudomonadota; Gammaproteobacteria; Enterobacterales; Enterobacteriaceae.